UUCGCAGUGGCGGAUUGGCCUAUGUGGCGGUCCCUUCGGAACCCGGCUAUCGAAUUAUCUUUAAUUUGCGCAGACAAUAUACCACCAGAUAUAAUUUUCACUCGGGCCGAUAAAGGCAAUGUGACCGUUGCACUGGACAGGGAUAUGUAUAUUUCCAAAGUCAACGACUUACUGAAGGAUACAGAUACUUACACCAAAA
Long non-coding RNA from Pogonomyrmex barbatus (red harvester ant), 199 nucleotides. The record is from RefSeq and is a predicted model, not a curated record. NCBI's taxonomy places the organism in Eukaryota, Metazoa, Arthropoda, Insecta, Hymenoptera, Formicidae.